RNAcentral lists this ribosomal RNA (210 nucleotides) under Clostridioides difficile. RNAcentral's name for it is "partial 23S ribosomal RNA". It matches the Rfam family "Bacterial large subunit ribosomal RNA", at positions 1527 to 1737 of the family's 2925-position model. Lineage: Bacteria; Bacillati; Bacillota; Clostridia; Peptostreptococcales; Peptostreptococcaceae. The record is from RNAcentral.
UCAAAGUAGGCAAAUCCGCUUUGAUAAUGCUGGGAUGUGAUGGGGAGCGAAAUUUAGUAGCGAAGUAGCUGAUUUCACACUGUCAAGAAAAGUCUCUAUCGAGGUUAAAGGUACCCGUACCGCAAACCGACACAGGUGGGUGAGGAGAGUAUCCUAAGGCCAGCGAGAGAACUGUUGUUAAGGAACUCGGCAAAAUGACCCCGUAACUUA